UACGUAGGGUGCGAGCGUUGUCCGGAAUUAUUGGGCGUAAAGGGCUCGUAGGCGGUCUGUUGCGUCGGGAGUGAAAACUCAGGGCUUAACCCUGAGCCUGCUUCCGAUACGGGCAGACUAGAGGUAUGCAGGGGAGAAUGGAAUUCCUGGUGUAGCGGUGGAAUGCGCAGAUAUCAGGAGGAACACCGAUGGCGAAGGCAGUUCUCUGGGCCGUAACUGACGCUGAGGAGCGAAAGCGUGGGGAGCGAACAGG
Molecule: ribosomal RNA, 253 nt
Filed under: uncultured bacterium
Lineage: Bacteria
Description: partial 16S ribosomal RNA
Rfam family: Bacterial small subunit ribosomal RNA
Source: RNAcentral